AGGGAAAGGCGAAAAGCACUUUGGAAAGAGAGUUAAAAGACUUGAAAUCGUUGCUUUGGAAGCCGUGCGUCCAUACUGGCCCAAUCCAAGGCUUCAUUCCGUGAAGGUAUGGAGAGGGCUCUCCUGGGCGGACCGUCCCGUCUUGAAACACGGGCCAAGGAGUCUAUCUCAGUCGCGAGUCAAACA
Molecule: ribosomal RNA, 186 nt
Filed under: Ctenophora environmental sample
Lineage: Eukaryota; Metazoa; Ctenophora
Description: partial Archaeal large subunit ribosomal RNA
Rfam family: Eukaryotic large subunit ribosomal RNA
Source: RNAcentral